CCCUAUCCAUAUACUAAUGUUAUUUUAAUAAAUGUUUUUUAUUUGAUUCUUUAACAUAAGACACUAGUCUGCAAACACCCUAUACAUAUACUAAUGUUAUUUUAAAGAAUGAUGCCUUAACCCUUAAAAGAUCUUUUCCCUUUUGCCAACAGAACUAGACCAAGAGUACCUUAUUCAAAACUGUUAUAACUAUGAUAUAGAAAAAGAAAUGAUAAAAUGAAUAACAUGAUUUUGUUCUUUGAAAACUACAACUAUGUAUAUUCACUAGGGAAAGUUGUUUUCAACUUAUGAAGCAAAAAGAAAAAAUGGUCAUGAAUAAGCAAUAAAGAUAACCAUCAUUUUGACCGAGAGAAACCUGAGUUAUACUUCAGCUAAAUAUAUCAAAUAAAAGGGUAGCAUAGAACUGAAAUAAAAUCUCACCUCUAUUAAUAAUGGGUGGCCUUGGAAGCUCAUCAACUGCACUCCUAGGAGUAGGAGGCAUAGAAAAGUCAUGUGCCAUGUUGUAUUCUGGUUGAUGAACAAAUUCGGGUAAGGGUUUGGCAUCUUCCCCUGCAGAAAAUUAAAAGAAUUAAUCAUCUACCAAAAGUUGAUUAGCUUGUUUCAAUGUGUUUGAGUCUAAGAGUAGUGUUCUUGUUAUCUUUGUUUUCUAAUUUCUAAAUGUGCAGAAAGAGUGGAUGUAAAGAGUGGAUGUGAUUUUGCUAUGUCCCUUCUAUAAGGGUUACGAGUGGGCCUUUUGGUCAAAUAAAU
RNAcentral lists this long non-coding RNA (747 nucleotides) under Lupinus angustifolius (narrow-leaved blue lupine). RNAcentral's name for it is "long non-coding RNA (LANG_LNC001955)". Lineage: Eukaryota; Viridiplantae; Streptophyta; Magnoliopsida; Fabales; Fabaceae. The record is from RNAcentral.